RNAcentral lists this ribosomal RNA (1465 nucleotides) under Mixta intestinalis. Its description in RNAcentral is "bacterial SSU rRNA". It matches the Rfam family "Bacterial small subunit ribosomal RNA". The record is from RNAcentral. Lineage: Bacteria; Pseudomonadati; Pseudomonadota; Gammaproteobacteria; Enterobacterales; Erwiniaceae.
GAGUUUUGGAACCUGGCUCAGAUUGAACGCUGGCGGCAGGCCUAACACAUGCAAGUCGAACGGUAACGGGAAGAAGCUUGCUUCUUUGCCGACGAGUGGCGGACGGGUGAGUAAUGUCUGGGGAUCUGCCCGAUGGAGGGGGAUAACCACUGGAAACGGUGGCUAAUACCGCAUAACGUCGCAAGACCAAAGUGGGGGACCUUCGGGCCUCACACCAUCGGAUGAACCCAGAUGGGAUUAGCUAGUAGGUGGGGUAACGGCUCACCUAGGCGACGAUCCCUAGCUGGUCUGAGAGGAUGACCAGCCACACUGGAACUGAGACACGGUCCAGACUCCUACGGGAGGCAGCAGUGGGGAAUAUUGCACAAUGGGCGCAAGCCUGAUGCAGCCAUGCCGCGUGUAUGAAGAAGGCCUUCGGGUUGUAAAGUACUUUCAGCGGGGAGGAAGGGAUGAAGGUUAAUAACCUUCGUCAUUGACGUUACCCGCAGAAGAAGCACCGGCUAACUCCGUGCCAGCAGCCGCGGUAAUACGGAGGGUGCAAGCGUUAAUCGGAAUUACUGGGCGUAAAGCGCACGCAGGCGGUCUGUUAAGUCAGAUGUGAAAUCCCCGGGCUCAACCCGGGAACUGCAUUUGAAACUGGCAGGCUUGAGUCUCGUAGAGGGGGGUAGAAUUCCAGGUGUAGCGGUGAAAUGCGUAGAGAUCUGGAGGAAUACCGGUGGCGAAGGCGGCCCCCUGGACGAAGACUGACGCUCAGGUGCGAAAGCGUGGGGAGCAAACAGGAUUAGAUACCCUGGUAGUCCACGCCGUAAACGAUGUCGACUUGGAGGUUGUGCCCUUGAGGCGUGGCUUCCGGAGCUAACGCGUUAAGUCGACCGCCUGGGGAGUACGGCCGCAAGGUUAAAACUCAAAUGAAUUGACGGGGGCCCGCACAAGCGGUGGAGCAUGUGGUUUAAUUCGAUGCAACGCGAAGAACCUUACCUGGUCUUGACAUCCACGGAAGACUGCAGAGAUGCGGUUGUGCCUUCGGGAACCGUGAGACAGGUGCUGCAUGGCUGUCGUCAGCUCGUGUUGUGAAAUGUUGGGUUAAGUCCCGCAACGAGCGCAACCCUUAUCCUUUGUUGCCAGCGCGUAAUGGCGGGAACUCAAAGGAGACUGCCGGUGAUAAACCGGAGGAAGGUGGGGAUGACGUCAAGUCAUCAUGGCCCUUACGACCAGGGCUACACACGUGCUACAAUGGCGCAUACAAAGAGAAGCGACCUCGCGAGAGCAAGCGGACCUCAUAAAGUGCGUCGUAGUCCGGAUCGGAGUCUGCAACUCGACUCCGUGAAGUCGGAAUCGCUAGUAAUCGUGGAUCAGAAUGCCACGGUGAAUACGUUCCCGGGCCUUGUACACACCGCCCGUCACACCAUGGGAGUGGGUUGCAAAAGAAGUAGGUAGCUUAACCUCCGGGAGGGCGCUACCACUU